RNAcentral lists this ribosomal RNA (389 nucleotides) under uncultured bacterium. Its description in RNAcentral is "bacterial SSU rRNA". It matches the Rfam family "Bacterial small subunit ribosomal RNA", at positions 29 to 408 of the family's 1533-position model. The record is from RNAcentral.
AAUGAACGCUGGCGGCGCGCCUAAUACAUGCAAGUCGAGCGAGAAGACGUAGCAAUACGUUUGUAAAGCGGCGAACGGGUGAGGAAUACAUGGGUAACCUACCCUCGAGUGGGAAUAACUAGCCGAAAGGUUAGCUAAUACCGCGUACGCUCCUUGGACUUCGGUUCAGGGAGGAAAGCGAUACCGUGGGUAUCGCGCUCUUGGAUGGGCUCAUGUCCUAUCAGCUUGUUGGNGAGGUAACGGCUCACCAAGGCUUCGACGGGUAGCUGGUCUGAGAGGACGAUCAGCCACACUGGCACUGCGACACGGGCCAGACUCCUACGGGAGGCAGCAGUAAGGAAUAUUGCGCAAUGGGCGAAAAGCCUGACGCAGCGACGCCGCGUGGGGGA